Molecule: non-coding RNA, 232 nt
Filed under: Acidaminococcus fermentans
Lineage: Bacteria; Bacillati; Bacillota; Negativicutes; Acidaminococcales; Acidaminococcaceae
Description: T-box sequence
Rfam family: T-box leader
About the family: Uncharged tRNA acts as the effector for transcription antitermination of genes in the T-box leader family. T-boxes are found upstream of many aminoacyl-tRNA synthetase genes and some amino acid biosynthetic genes usually in Gram-positive bacteria.
Source: RNAcentral
AUACCUGCAAUGAAAAGAAGAGUACCCUUGGCAGGCCGGCACAGAGAGCUUCCAUCCUGGUGCAAGGAAGUGCGGCGAAAAAGGGGAACAUGGCCUUGGAGCAGAUGAUUGAACAGCAGUAGGUCAUCCGGGGGUGCCCGUUACAGCACUGGAGCAUCCGCUUUGGCGUGUGCUCGAGAGGCCUGGCAUGCCAGGCGAAGCCGGGUGGUACCACGAUGCUUUCGUCCCUGCA